This 301-nucleotide unclassified non-coding RNA is filed under the name uncultured fungus. Its description in RNAcentral is "partial contains 5.8S ribosomal RNA, internal transcribed spacer 2, and large subunit ribosomal RNA". The stretch from base 1 to 52 matches the Rfam family "5.8S ribosomal RNA", at positions 103 to 154 of the family's 154-position model. Lineage: Eukaryota; Fungi. The record is from RNAcentral.
AACGCACCUUGCGCUCCUUGGUAUUCCGAGGAGCAUGCCUGUUUGAGUGUCAUUAAAUUCUCAACCUCACCUCUUUUGUGUGUAGGCUUGGAUGUGGAGGGCUUGCAGGUCCGGCUCUCUCGAGUUGGUCUGCUCCUCUGAAACGCAUUAGUGGGUUGUAGCCCCUCAUCUAUUGGUGUGAUAAUUAUCUACGCCGUGGAUCAGUGUUGGCAACAAAUGAAGACCUGCUUCUAACCGUCCGACUCGGACAACCGAUGACAUUUUUGACCUCAAAUCAGGUAAGACUACCCGCUGAACUUAA